UCCCCGAUGGUGAAAGGCGAAUCGCUGACGCUAUGACUAGAAGCCAUCUUGCGAAGCUUGCCAAAGCCGAUCACCACCGUACUACACAUCAUCGGCGUCACAGAAGACUCGCGGAUAUCUCAAUUGAGCUGAACGCAGCCUAGGUGCACAUCUACGACAUUGAAGCAUAAAUCACCGGCCCAAACACCACUGACCGUCAGAUGCCUAACUUGCGUGGUUAGUCCAAAUGGCUUCCACAAGUACGUCUCCUUGUAUCCCUUCGAAAAACAAAGGCAUUGCUCCAGAGAAGUCAAGCAGUUUGGAAGAGACACACAAGCAGUUAAACCACAAGGCCUCCUGGGACAAUACUCAAUCAGAAUUUCCCUGCAGUUGAUUACCAAUGAGAUAACAAAAGAAAAUCGGCCAUUCCUAGUCCUCAGCCAAGCAGGGUACAAGUCGUUGGCAAGGAAAUUUAAGAAAAAAACAGGACGAAAACAUGGCCUCAAACAGUUGAAGAACAAAUACAUGAGUCUCAAAAAGAUUGGAAUGCUUGGAGGAAGUUGAUAGAUUCUAGCAGAGGCGUGCCAGGGAUUGGUUUUGACAUCGAAAUUGGUAUGUUUCAGGCGUCCAAUGAGUGGUGGGACAAGAUGGAAUCGACAAGUACAAUGUAGUUUCCAUAAACAAGGCUUGUGCAAAGUUCCGAAAAAAAAACUUUGGAAUAUCGCGAGCUGAUGGAGACGGUCUUUAAAGGGUCAUCAGCUACUGGUAAACACCAUUAAACCCUGGGAGAGAAAGUUGUUGAAGCUGCCGAUGUGUCAUCCGAUUCUGUGGACAGUAUCGGUGCCCAGCCAUUUGUUGAUCCAAUACUCGCACAAGCAGAGGAUGUGGACCAGUUCAGGCUAACGUUAAACGGAAACAGACUCUGUCAACAAGUUGUGGAAAGUCGAAGAAAGCAACAAGUGGCGCGUCAAUUAUAGCAGAAAGCAUGAACAAUCUUACAAAUUUGGUCUGUACCCAGAAUCAACAAGUUACGGUGAGCCACCUGACAGGCAAUGAAUCAUUGUACACAAUUUUGGAGUGCAUGCAAAGGCUUAGGAACAUUCCUUCCCUUCUUGAUACGCCGUUAUUCCAUUAUGCGUCGACGCUGAUGGAAAAUGCAGAUUCCUAGGAGGUGAUGACGUGCCAGCUUGAUGACGACCACAUUGUAGGCUAGCUGACACAAAAGCAGCUGCAGUUGAGUGUGGUGGCGCCGUUUGUGAACCUAAAUGGGGCUCCCCGGGUGUGAUAACAGUGUCGUACUGAAGACGCGUUCCAUUCGCUUUGCUUUACAAAACUUUUAAUUACGUUCAUGUUAGACUUGUACUAAACAGGAUGGAUG
This is a non-coding RNA of Camellia sinensis, 1357 nucleotides long. The record is from RefSeq and is a predicted model, not a curated record. NCBI's taxonomy places the organism in Eukaryota, Viridiplantae, Streptophyta, Magnoliopsida, Ericales, Theaceae.